UCACAUACUCCUUUGUUCCUGAGCAGCUAGGAGUUUUCAGUUUGUUUCUAAGGUGCUAAAAGAGGAUCAGAGUGGCCUGAGCUCAGGGAUGCCUCACUCGAAGCUCUAGCAGGAUGUGUCUUUUAACAGGAUGAAGGUGUGAUGGUUCUCAGUGCACUGUAGAGUUUGUUCUUCAAGAAGACAAAGGACAGUGUUCUUCAGGAAGACAAAGAAAGACAAACAGUGCAGAACUGUUGCUUCUGGGGUUUCUCCCAUAGCCAGGGAGAGACUGUCAUGGACAUGGAAGCUGAAGCUCUGGACAUGCUGAUGGAGCCAUGAAAACAGAACCAGCUCUGCUUCAGAGUGUCCUGCUAUGAUGCUCAAACAUGCAACACUUGUUUUUCAGCACUGAUUAGUUUGACCCUCUGCUCCACAAAUGCUAACCUACAUCUGUGUCUUAUUCUGGAACAGCAAAGGGAGAAAAAUCUGAACAGCUGUGUCGGUGGAACACAUCCAGGUGGCAUCCCUAAGGCAAAGUUUCUACAAAAUCUGUGGUUUUAUUCAGUGUCUGAGGGAUGUGAAUACCUGGAUCAAGUUUCUCUAGACGCAUUUCUCAGUUUUUCCUGUUAGUGGGAACCCAGAGGACUGGAUAUGCAAUCUUCAACCACUCCAGUUUGUGUCUCCAACUCUAUUUAAUCCAUGUACCAGGACAACAGCUUGCUACUACCACUAGCUGAAAGAAUUGCAGUGGAAGCCACUGACAAACCUGAAAAAAUCCAAAUAAAGAGAAGCUACAGUUCCAGCAUUUUUCCCUCUGAUCUCCUAACCAGAGCAAUAUCCUGCAGAGAGAAAUCUAGAUCCCACUGAAUGUGAGAAAGUUGGCUGGCAACGGCAGCAGCACCCCUUCGAUGGCAGAGCCAAGGGAGAAAACUAACUCUUCCAUUGCAAAGUUUCCACUGGACCAAAAGCAAAACAAGCAUUCAGUUUGGUCAUGCAUGAGACUGGCUCUUUAAAUACUCAUCUGGGCCUCCUAGUCUUUCUUCAGCUCUGGAUGCUGCAGCUUCAUGCCUUUGCUUCUCUCCUGCAGCCCCCCAGCUGGGCUUGGGUACUCUGUGCUCUGAUUUGUGCUGCUCUGCAUUUCCUAAUGGGCCUGUGCUGGUCUAAGCUGCCUUAUAGGAUAAUUAACUGAAAGAGGAGAGAAUUAGAUUAGAUAUUAGAAAUAAACUCUUUACUCUGAGGGUGGUGAGGGUCUGGUACUGAUUACCCAGAGAGGCUAUGGAUACCCCAUUCCUGGAAGUGUUCAAGGCCAGGUUGGACAGGGUUUGGAGCAAACUGGGAUAGUGGAAGCUGUUUCUGACCAUGGCAGGGGCAUGGACCUGGAUGAUCUUUAAGGUCCCUUCCAAUCUAAGCCAUUCUAUGAGUCUAAUAUGCCAUUUGCAGUUUUAAUGCAAUAAGGAACAAGAAAGAUUGUAUUUCUGUUGCUUUACUUACAUAUGGAGCAAUGUAACUGGCUCUCCUUGUCUCAGUUUUGCGCUAUUAAUAAAGUCCAUGUGAGGAAUAUA
Hirundo rustica (Barn swallow) is the source of this 1541-nucleotide long non-coding RNA. RefSeq lists it as uncharacterized. The record is from RefSeq and is a predicted model, not a curated record. The transcript is spliced from 3 exons. Lineage: Eukaryota; Metazoa; Chordata; Aves; Passeriformes; Hirundinidae.